GGGUUGUGAGGUUAAGCGACUAAGCGUACACGGUGGAUGCCCUGGCAGUCAGAGGCGAUGAAGGGCGUGCUAAUCUGCGAUAAGCGCCGGUAAGGUGAUAUGAACCGUUAUAACCGGCGAUACCCGAAUGGGGAAACCCAGUGUGAUUCGUCACACUAUCAUUAACUGAAUCCAUAGGUUAAUGAGGCGAACCGGGGGAACUGAAACAUCUAAGUACCCCGAGGAAAAGAAAUCAACCGAGAUUCCCCCAGUAGCGGCGAGCGAACGGGGAGGAGCCCAGAGCCUGAAUCAGCAUGUGUGUUAGUGGAAGCGUCUGGAAAGGCGCGCGAUACAGGGUGACAGCCCCGUACACAAAAGCGCAUGUGCUGUGAGCUCGAUGAGUAGGGCGGGACACGUGGUAUCCUGUCUGAAUAUGGGGGGACCAUCCUCCAAGGCUAAAUACUCCUGACUGACCGAUAGUGAACCAGUACCGUGAGGGAAAGGCGAAAAGAACCCCGGCGAGGGGAGUGAAAAAGAACCUGAAACCGUGUACGUACAAGCAGUGGGAGCCCCACCACUAAGCCAGUGGUGAACUCCACAUACGCAUCCUUUGCUGAGGAUACGGUUAACGGAGCGAAAGCGACGUUCAACCUCAAAAGAAGCAGAGGGGGCUUAGUGGUGGGGUGACUGCGUACCUUUUGUAUAAUGGGUCAGCGACUUAUAUUCUGUAGCAAGGUUAACCGUAUAGGGGAGCCGGAGGGAAACCGAGUCUUAAUUGGGCGUUAAGUUGCAGGGUAUAGACCCGAAACCCGGUGAUCUAGCCAUGGGCAGGUUGAAGGUUGGGUAACACUAACUGGAGGACCGAACCGACUAAUGUUGAAAAAUUAGCGGAUGACCUGUGGCUGGGGGUGAAAGGCCAAUCAAACCGGGAGAUAGCUGGUUCUCCCCGAAAGCUAUUUAGGUAGCGCCUCGUGAAUUCAUCUCCGGGGGUAGAGCACUGUUUCGGCUAGGGGGCCAUCCCGGCUUACCAACCCGAUGCAAACUGCGAAUACCGGAGAAUGUUAUCACGGGAGACACACGGCGGGUGCUAACGUCCGUCGUGAAGAGGGAAACAACCCAGACCGCCAGCUAAGGUCCCAAAGUCAUGGUUAAGUGGGAAACGAUGUGGGAAGGCCCAGACAGCCAGGAUGUUGGCUUAGAAGCAGCCAUCAUUUAAAGAAAGCGUAAUAGCUCACUGGUCGAGUCGGCCUGCGCGGAAGAUGUAACGGGGCUAAACCAUGCACCGAAGCUGCGGCAGCGACACUGUGUGUUGUUGGGUAGGGGAGCGUUCUGUAAGCCUGUGAAGGUGGCCUGUGAGGGUUGCUGGAGGUAUCAGAAGUGCGAAUGCUGACAUAAGUAACGAUAAAGCGGGUGAAAAGCCCGCUCGCCGGAAGACCAAGGGUUCCUGUCCAACGUUAAUCGGGGCAGGGUGAGUCGACCCCUAAGGCGAGGCCGAAAGGCGUAGUCGAUGGGAAACGGGUUAAUAUUCCCGUACUUGGUGUUACUGCGAAGGGGGGACGGAGAAGGCUAUGUUGGCCGGGCGACGGUUGUCCCGGUUUAAGCGUGUAGGUGUGUGUUCCAGGUAAAUCCGGUUCACUUUAACACUGAGGCGUGACGACGAGGCACUACGGUGCUGAAGCAACAAAUGCCCUGCUUCCAGGAAAAGCCUCUAAGCAUCAGGUAACAUCAAAUCGUACCCCAAACCGACACAGGUGGUCAGGUAGAGAAUACCAAGGCGCUUGAGAGAACUCGGGUGAAGGAACUAGGCAAAAUGGUGCCGUAACUUCGGGAGAAGGCACGCUGACACGUAGGUGAAGUGAUUUACUCAUGGAGCUGAAGUCAGUCGAAGAUACCAGCUGGCUGCAACUGUUUAUUAAAAACACAGCACUGUGCAAACACGAAAGUGGACGUAUACGGUGUGACGCCUGCCCGGUGCCGGAAGGUUAAUUGAUGGGGUCAGCGCAAGCGAAGCUCCUGAUCGAAGCCCCGGUAAACGGCGGCCGUAACUAUAACGGUCCUAAGGUAGCGAAAUUCCUUGUCGGGUAAGUUCCGACCUGCACGAAUGGCGUAAUGAUGGCCAGGCUGUCUCCACCCGAGACUCAGUGAAAUUGAACUCGCUGUGAAGAUGCAGUGUACCCGCGGCAAGACGGAAAGACCCCGUGAACCUUUACUAUAGCUUGACACUGAACAUUGAGCCUUGAUGUGUAGGAUAGGUGGGAGGCUUUGAAGUGUGGACGCCAGUCUGCAUGGAGCCGACCUUGAAAUACCACCCUUUAAUGUUUGAUGUUCUAACGUGGACCCGUAAUCCGGGUUGCGGACAGUGUCUGGUGGGUAGUUUGACUGGGGCGGUCUCCUCCUAAAGAGUAACGGAGGAGCACGAAGGUUGGCUAAUCCUGGUCGGACAUCAGGAGGUUAGUGCAAUGGCAUAAGCCAGCUUGACUGCGAGCGUGACGGCGCGAGCAGGUGCGAAAGCAGGUCAUAGUGAUCCGGUGGUUCUGAAUGGAAGGGCCAUCGCUCAACGGAUAAAAGGUACUCCGGGGAUAACAGGCUGAUACCGCCCAAGAGUUCAUAUCGACGGCGGUGUUUGGCACCUCGAUGUCGGCUCAUCACAUCCUGGGGCUGAAGUAGGUCCCAAGGGUAUGGCUGUUCGCCAUUUAAAGUGGUACGCGAGCUGGGUUUAGAACGUCGUGAGACAGUUCGGUCCCUAUCUGCCGUGGGCGCUGGAGAACUGAGGGGGGCUGCUCCUAGUACGAGAGGACCGGAGUGGACGCAUCACUGGUGUUCGGGUUGUCAUGCCAAUGGCACUGCCCGGUAGCUAAAUGCGGAAGAGAUAAGUGCUGAAAGCAUCUAAGCACGAAACUUGCCCCGAGAUGAGUUCUCCCUGAGACUUAGAGUCUCCUGAAGGAACGUUGAAGACGACGACGUUGAUAGGCCGGGUGUGUAAGCGCAGCGAUGCGUUGAGCUAACCGGUACUAAUGAACCGUGAGGCUUAACCUUACAACGCCGAAG
This 3027-nucleotide ribosomal RNA is filed under the name Salmonella enterica subsp. enterica serovar Senftenberg. RNAcentral's name for it is "23S ribosomal RNA". It matches the Rfam family "Bacterial large subunit ribosomal RNA". The record is from RNAcentral. Lineage: Bacteria; Pseudomonadati; Pseudomonadota; Gammaproteobacteria; Enterobacterales; Enterobacteriaceae.